Molecule: ribosomal RNA, 465 nt
Filed under: uncultured bacterium
Lineage: Bacteria
Description: partial 16S ribosomal RNA
Rfam family: Bacterial small subunit ribosomal RNA
Source: RNAcentral
CUACGGGCGGCUCCAGUGGGGAAUAUUGGACAAUGGGGGAAACCCUGAUCCAGCAAUGCCGCGUGUGUGAAGAAGGCCUGCGGGUUGUAAAGCACUUUCGGUUGGGAGGACUGCUUCUAGCACUAAUAUUGUUGGAAGUUGACGUUACCUUCAGAAGAAGCACCGGCUACUCCGUGCCAGCAGCCGCGGUAAUACGGAGGGGUGCAAGCGUUAAUCGGAAUUACUGGGCGUAAAGCGCGCGUAGGCGGCUAGAUCAGUCGGGUGUGAAAGCCCCGGGCUUAACCUGGGAACUGCAUCCGAUACUGUCUAGCUUGAGUACAGGAGAGGGGAGUGGAAUUCCACAUGUAGCGGUGAAAUGCGUAGAUAUGUGGAGGAACACCAAUGGCGAAGGCAGCUCUCUGGCCUGAUACUGACGCUGAGGUGCGAAAGCGUGGGGAGCAAACAGGAUUAGAUACCCCCGUAGUC